AGUUAAAUAGCUUAUAAAGCAUAUGUUUUGAAAGCAUAAGAAAGGAGUUUAAAUCUCCUAUUAACUU
RNAcentral lists this transfer RNA (67 nucleotides) under Melanozosteria sp. Cairns, Australia. RNAcentral describes it as "tRNA-Ser". It matches the Rfam family "tRNA". Rfam says of the family: Transfer RNA (tRNA) molecules are approximately 80 nucleotides in length. Their secondary structure includes four short double-helical elements and three loops (D, anti-codon, and T loops). Further hydrogen bonds mediate the characteristic L-shaped molecular structure. tRNAs have two regions of fundamental functional importance: the anti-codon, which is responsible for specific mRNA codon recognition, and the 3' end, to which the tRNAs corresponding amino acid is attached (by aminoacyl-tRNA synthetases). tRNAs cope with the degeneracy of the genetic code in two manners: having more than one tRNA (with a specific anti-codon) for a particular amino acid; and 'wobble' base-pairing, i.e. permitting non-standard base-pairing at the 3rd anti-codon position. Lineage: Eukaryota; Metazoa; Arthropoda; Insecta; Blattodea; Blattidae. The record is from RNAcentral.